CCCCACCGGUUCACAACUGCCAGGUUUCCAUCACAAAUGUGGAGCGUGCCACAUCCAUCCAUCUCCCCUGGAGUGUCCGUUUUUACGAGGCCCAUUUCUGUCAGUGGGUGUAAACAGGUAUUUGAUGAAUGGAUGUCAAGGUGCACUGUUACCUGCAGCCCCCGAUCUGAGGCCUCCUGUGUUACAGCUGUGAGCUGCCGCUCUUCAAACUUCUCUGUCCUACUCUGCCAAAAGUCCUCCAUUUGGCAAGCACACCUUCAUUGUACACCUUCAAAACACACAUCCCUGUAUUAUCUGAGGAGCCUACAGCUGCAGGAGAAAUAUGAAACACUCCUUUCUGAAUAGGUUUACAGCCAGAACUGGACAAGGAAUAACACACUUUAUGUGUUUUGAGUGUCUUUACCUAGGUGGGCCAAUCAUCUCAAAAUCGCCUUGGAAGCCACUCUGCAGUAUAAACCACUGUGUAGACGUGUGUGUACGUGUGUGUGUACUAAUGAAAGAUUUUUCAUUCCUAAUGUAGAGAACAACUUUUUUGUAAAUACAAAAUACUUUUCUGUUUUGUAAAUAUUGUUUAUAAACUGAAUGGAAUUUAAAAACUCACAUGCACCAAGUACCUGUAUUACAGUAGAGUCCUGGGCCCAUCACAACAGGACAGGGCUCUUGAUACGUAUUUUAGGUGAUUUUCCAACUUGAAAAGAAAUAAUAAGAGCUCUGUUCAGGGAUAGGCGUCAUGCACACGUGAAAUCCCUAACCACUAAGAAGACUUCAAUGUAAAUAGGGGAACUGUAACACUUUUUAUAAAACUAUAUUUUGUUAAAAAAAACCCUGCAAAACAGAAGUUCUUGGGAAGCAUCAGCAUUACUGUCAUAUGACUUAACCUCUGGUGAAUGCUGCUUUUUUUUUUUUUUUUUUUUUUUUUUACCAUAUUUGCAUUUGUCUCUUGAUCAGAGGUGAUGCGGCUGAGCAAAAUCCAUUGUUUGUCUCUACUUGUGGUCCUUCAGACAGAUGAAUGGUCCAAGUGAGUUCCUCACCCUCUAACAAUGAUGCAGUAAUUGGGUCCAUGUCCUCCUACAAUCCUGAGAAGUACUUAGCAGUAGACGACGAGUGAAUGAAGGAACCUGUGAUCAGAAGUGCGACAAAGAACACGUCACAGUCAAAGUGAGGUCUGCUGUGAGUUAUGUCAGAUGGAGCAAUUACCAGAGAGGGGGGCCAGGACGAUAAUGAGUACCAGAUGUAGGUUGCUUGCUCUUGUUCUCUUACUUUGACACUUUGUUCUUCUUCAUCUUCUCCCUUUAUUUUCUUCCUCUUUUAUUUGUCACUUUAGUUUGUGUCUUUCUGAGUGUUGUUUAUUUCUUCUCCUGCACCUUGUUCACCUUCUGACCAUCUCUCAGUCUCUAACACCCACUUUCUCCUCGUCCUCCCUCUGACCACCCACAGCUGUCUGGUACAAGGUGCUGGUGAAACCCUCCUUGGAGCGGAGGUGCACUUGUUCGUUCCCCCCGCUGCUAAAUAGAAUCCAUCAAUCAUGCAGGUGUCUCUCCAACAAAGUCAGGAGGCCUCGCUAACACUUUGCACAUGCAGCCGAAGACCAUUUAUCAGCAGAAAUACAAUGUUAACGUAGGACCGCUGCCAGCUUUUACACAACUGCAGUGCACUCUGUUGCUGUUACUCGGCCACAGAUGCACUUACAACAAAGUGCAUGUUUUAAGUGAUUUCGUCCCCCUUCGGUUCUGUUUAUUUGCCUGUGUAAGACCAAGAACAUAAAAACCACUGAGACGCCUGAGAAGGUGGAUCCUUCUGCUUUUCCAAGCAAACCGCAGUGAAGUUUGUUAGGAGUGAAAACAGUCUGACCCAACAGGAAAUCAUCCCUAAACACAAGGGAGGAAUGUUGUUGUCCCGUGUCAUCGCAAGUCCAUCUAGAUCGAAUUGUCAAGGAGCUUCUUGAAAUGGAAAAUGCAAAGAAAAAAAAACUAUAUCUAAAAAAAAAGACAUGAUAAGAGUAAUCAUUGUACUACAUAGGAAAAAUAGGAAACUUUAAAUACAACUGAAUUGUCAUAUUUAAAUCUAAGAUUGAAUUACAUUUGUUGAAACAAUCAAAUUAUAUGUUUGGUUUAACACCACACUGUAAAAUGUUCAAAAGAACAACUUUUAUCAAAGCACUGUCCACUUUACAAGGAGGACAGGACGUCUGUCUGCAUGACAAAAAUGAAGUGGUCAUCUCCAUAGUUCACCAACCUGUUCUGCUACCACUCAAGCCAAAUGGAAGCCCGUCCAAAUGAUGAGCCGUGCUCUGCCAAAGCAGCUGGAAGAGCUAACAGGAAAAAGAACCCGCCGGUUCCAGCCAAAAUUUAUAAGCUUUUGGGUAAUUUUCCAACUAGAGGCAGGUCGUCCAACAGCAUCAAAUGUGACAUUAACCUUUGUCAAUUUAAAAAGGAAAAUAAGUACCGUAGGUGGUGGAUGGGAAACCUCAACUCCAUGGAGCUUUUAGCAAAACAGUGUCCAGCCCCAUUUUAAACAAAUAGAAACUAAAAAAUCCAUAGACCGAUGAUAUUGGGUUUUUGACCUGGCCUGCCUGCAGUGCAGCUCUGUCUCCUACAGAUAAUGUCUGAUGCAUUGUGAAAAGGAAAAGGCUGUUAAAUAUGGUGCCACCUUGUGGUCAUGGAUUAAAAGAUGAAUAAG
This is a long non-coding RNA of Cynoglossus semilaevis (tongue sole), 2679 nucleotides long. RefSeq lists it as uncharacterized. The record is from RefSeq and is a predicted model, not a curated record. The transcript has 2 exons. Lineage: Eukaryota; Metazoa; Chordata; Actinopteri; Pleuronectiformes; Cynoglossidae.